Molecule: non-coding RNA, 357 nt
Organism: Pelodiscus sinensis (Chinese soft-shelled turtle)
Lineage: Eukaryota; Metazoa; Chordata; Testudines; Trionychidae
Source: RefSeq, a predicted model, not a curated record
CAGAAGUGGAAGUGACAAAAUGAUGAAGAAAAAGCUAUUCUCAUAUUUCCAGCCUAAUGGGAAGCAGGAAGUGUCAGAAAUCUCACGAGAAAACAGUUUCAUGAGAUUUCAGGAAGUGCAGAUGGUUCAGAGAGGCAUCCAAAUGUGUAACAACUCACGUGGCUUCUAGUUGUAGAAAAAUCUACAGAUUUGUAACCAACAAUAAAUGAAAAUCCAGAAGGCUUCUCAGCACGUCAUCCAGAUGGCUUUUGAAACUUCCUCGCCCACCUUAAGAGGCUACACAUGAGAAAACCGAAAAACCAAGGACUCCAGAGAACCCUGAAAGCUGUAGAUUCAUGCCAAAGUAAAGAUCACCUC